Molecule: ribosomal RNA, 860 nt
Filed under: Lepidophyma radula
Lineage: Eukaryota; Metazoa; Chordata; Lepidosauria; Squamata; Xantusiidae
Description: partial 12S ribosomal RNA
Rfam family: Bacterial small subunit ribosomal RNA
Source: RNAcentral
CCUUUUGGUCCUUGACGCGUUAUUGUUUAUAACCUAAUUACACAUGCAAGUCUCCGCACGCCAGUGAGAAGCCCAAUAGACUCAUACGAGUUAGGGAGAAGGCAUCAGGCACGCCAUGUGUAGCCAAUUACGCCACGCAGACGCCACACCCACACGGGCCUCAGCAGUGAACAAUAUUAAAUUAUAAGUGAAAACUUGAUUUAGUUAAGAUUAAAAACAGCCGGUAAAUCUCGUGCCAGCCACCGCGGUUAUACGAGGGGCCAAAAACAAUAACAGCCGGCGUAAAGCGUGACCAAAGUGACACCAAUAUAUUAGGGGGGAAUUAAUCCUAAGCUGUGAAACCCACAAGAAACAAGAACCCCACCUACCCUUAAUAAAAAGAUAGCCUGAAUUCACGAAAGCUGAGAUACAAACUGGGAUUAGAUACCCCACUAUGCUCAGCCCUAAACUUAAACAGCCAGAAAUAUUAAGCUGUUCGCCAGGGGACUACGGGCAAAAGCUUGAAACCCAAAGGACUUGGCGGUGCCCAACACCAAACUAGAGGAGCCUGUCCCAUAAUCGAUAAUCCACGAUAAACCUUACCCCCAUUUGAUAAUCCAGCCUAUAUACCGCCGUCGCCAGCUUACCCCAUGAGGGUAUAGUAGUAAGCACAGUAGUAUGCGCAAACACGCCAGGUCAAGGUGUAGCAUAUGUGGGGGAGGAGAUGGGCUACAUUUCCAAAACCGACAAACACGAAAGGCCACAUGAAAACUGAGCCAGAAGGUGGAUUUAGCAGUAAAGCAGAUAAGACCCUCUACUUGAAGAGAGCUCUAAGGCACGCACACACCGCCCGUCACCCUCCUCAGAGCAGUCGAAACAUU